UACAGAGGGUGCAAGCGUUGUUCGGAAUUAUUGGGCGUAAAGCGCGUGUAGGCGGCUUUGCAAGUCGGGUGUGAAAGCCCUCAGCUCAACUGAGGAAGUGCGCCCGAAACUGCAGAGCUUGAGUGCCGGAGAGGGUGGCGGAAUUCCCGGUGUAGAGGUGAAAUUCGUAGAUAUCGGGAGGAACACCUGUGGCGAAGGCGGCCAUCUGGACGACAACUGACGCUGAGACGCGAAAGCGUGGGUAGCAAACAGG
RNAcentral lists this ribosomal RNA (253 nucleotides) under uncultured bacterium. Its description in RNAcentral is "partial 16S ribosomal RNA". It matches the Rfam family "Bacterial small subunit ribosomal RNA", at positions 524 to 776 of the family's 1533-position model. The record is from RNAcentral.